Molecule: non-coding RNA, 23 nt
Filed under: Arabidopsis thaliana (thale cress)
Lineage: Eukaryota; Viridiplantae; Streptophyta; Magnoliopsida; Brassicales; Brassicaceae
Source: RNAcentral
AAUAUGCUGGUGUGAGAAAUGUU